ACGACUAAAAAGUACUCUAUGACAGAUUAUGACAUUGACUUGACAAGCUGACAACUAAGUGACAUAAGAUGAUAAGAAAAAUUCUAACUUUGAAGGUUGUUUGUUGAUGUUUAGAUUUACCUUACUUUUAACUAUAAAUUUACAUUAAAUGUUAUUUAUAGAAAGUUUAUAUAUAAUUAUAGAAUAUAAUAUAAGAAAGUUUAUAACAAGUCUUUUUGGUCUAGAGCUUACAAUCUUGUCGUCUUUCGAAUGUUUCCCACUAGCAGGAAGAGAAGAUGUAGUACAAGCAGCAUCAGGAACGGGUAUUGCAUCAACAUCUGCAAUGCAGGUUGCUCGGUAGCGGGAGCCAUUUGGUCCAAUUAUGAAAAUACAGCCGUCUCUAGUCCAGCACUUAUCGAUACCGAAACGCUUACGGGCAGACAUAAAAGCAUUGUGCCGUUGCUUGGUCAGAAACUCGGAUAGAGUAAUACCCGAGCCUUUUAAGGAGACUUUAUUUGACCACAACUUAUCUCGGAGUUUCACAUCACUUAGCUUUAAAAAGAUUGGUCUAGGUUUGCUGUCCUGCAUUCGACCCAAACGAUGGCAACGAUUAAUGGACUCUUCAGAGAAAUUUGGAAGUUUGAAAUGCUUGGAGAUAAGAUCACACACAAGAACUGACGGAUUCUCUUGACUCUUUUCAGGAACACCGUGAAUGAGUAACAUUUUGCGUCUACUUCUGGUUUCUUGUUGAUCAUAUAGCUUCAUCAAAAUUUCCAGUUGGGACUGCAGGCAAUCAAGAGAUGUGGUGACAAAUGCACGGAACAAGUUGAACUCGGCAGCAAUUUGAGUGGAUGUAUCAGUGCUUACAGGGGCUGGAUUUUCCAGAUUCUUCUGGAACUCUGCCAUCCUCUUGUUAAAAGUGACCGUCAAGUCAACCAUGGACUGUUUCAGUGAUUCUAUAGAUGUCAUGUUUGGAUAAAUAUUAUGUUCUAGUGAAAUUGUUGUUAAGCAGUUUAUUCAAUUGAAAUUUUUAAGUGGAUAUUAAAGCUGGUAGGUACAGAAUA
Colias croceus (clouded yellow) is the source of this 1043-nucleotide long non-coding RNA. RefSeq lists it as uncharacterized. The transcript has 2 exons. The record is from RefSeq and is a predicted model, not a curated record. NCBI's taxonomy places the organism in Eukaryota, Metazoa, Arthropoda, Insecta, Lepidoptera, Pieridae.